Molecule: transfer RNA, 73 nt
Filed under: Pleurosigma sp. mgcode 4
Lineage: Eukaryota; Bacillariophyta; Bacillariophyceae; Naviculales; Pleurosigmataceae
Description: tRNA-Met
Rfam family: tRNA
About the family: Transfer RNA (tRNA) molecules are approximately 80 nucleotides in length.
Source: RNAcentral
GCUAGAGAAGUGUUACUGGUAGACACGUCAGGCUCAUGACCUGAAGUAGUAGGUUCGAGUCCUUCCUUUAGUA